RNAcentral lists this ribosomal RNA (253 nucleotides) under uncultured bacterium. Its description in RNAcentral is "partial 16S ribosomal RNA". It matches the Rfam family "Bacterial small subunit ribosomal RNA", at positions 524 to 776 of the family's 1533-position model. The record is from RNAcentral.
UACGGAGGAUGCAAGCGUUAUCCGGAAUGAUUGGGCGUAAAGCGUCCGCAGGUGGCAAUGUAAGUCUGCUGUCAAAGCGUCUGGCUCAACCAGAUAAAGGCAGUGGAAACUACAUAGCUAGAGUAAGGUAGGGGUAGAGGGAAUUCCUGGUGUAGCGGUGAAAUGCGUAGAGAUCAGGAAGAACACCGGUGGCGAAAGCGCUCUGCUAGGCCGUAACUGACACUGAGAGACGAUAGCUAGGGGAGCGAAUAGG